UCUACGGGUGGCAGCAGUGGGGGAUCUUGCACAAUGGGCGGAACCCUGAUGCAGCGACGCCGCGUGAGUGAAGGAGCGUUUCGGCUCGUAAAGCCCUAUCGUCAGGGAAGAAGGUGACGGUACCUGGCCAGUAAGCCCCGGCUAACUACGUGCCCGCAGCAGCGGGACUACGUAGGGGGCAAGCGUUAUCCGUAUUUACUGGGUGUCAAGGGGGCGCAGACGGCAAUGCCCGCACGGAGUGAAAGCGCUGGGCCCAACCCCGGGAAUGCUUCUGGAACAGCAUGGCUGGAGUACAGGCGGGGCAGGUGGAAUUCCUAGUGUAGCGGUGAAAUUCGUAGAUAUUAGGAGGAACACCGGUGGCGAAGGCGGCCUUCUGGCCUGUGACUGACGUUGAGGCCCGAAGGCGUGGGGAGCAAACAGGAUUAGAUACCCCUGUAGUC
RNAcentral lists this ribosomal RNA (440 nucleotides) under uncultured bacterium. Its description in RNAcentral is "partial 16S ribosomal RNA". It matches the Rfam family "Bacterial small subunit ribosomal RNA", at positions 338 to 795 of the family's 1533-position model. The record is from RNAcentral.